AGAACCGUCCAAAACCGGCCAGAAUCGGUCAAAAACCGGCCGGAGAACCUGCUGGAACUAUCGAUUUUAGAAUCAUUAAGGAAUCAAAACCAAAACCGAAACCGUUCGGUUUUAAACCGUAACCGAAACCGUUCGGUUUUAAACCGUAACCGAAACCGUUAAUUUUCAGUUCAGUUCCGGAACCGUGACCACCCCUAAUCA
This 201-nucleotide long non-coding RNA is filed under the name Jatropha curcas. Its description in RNAcentral is "long non-coding RNA (JCUR_LNC001249)". The record is from RNAcentral. Lineage: Eukaryota; Viridiplantae; Streptophyta; Magnoliopsida; Malpighiales; Euphorbiaceae.